GGUUUGGCUGGGCGGUCUCCCAAUGGGUUGCACUGUUCCGGCUGAAUCUUUCCUUCUGGCGAACCAUUGUGCCAUUAAUUUGGUGUUGCGGGGAAUUUGGACUGUUACUUUGAAAAAAUUAGAGUGUUUAAAGCAAGCUAACGUUUGAAUACAUUAGCAUGGAAUAAUGAAAUAGGACGUUCGAUCCCAUUUUGUUGGUUUCUAGGAUUGACGUA
RNAcentral lists this ribosomal RNA (215 nucleotides) under Campeiostachys nutans. RNAcentral describes it as "Elymus nutans partial small subunit ribosomal RNA". The stretch from base 43 to 215 matches the Rfam family "Eukaryotic small subunit ribosomal RNA", at positions 690 to 864 of the family's 1831-position model. Lineage: Eukaryota; Viridiplantae; Streptophyta; Magnoliopsida; Poales; Poaceae. The record is from RNAcentral.